AGCUCUCCGAGUGGUGUGGAUGUUUAUUGGGCCUAAAGCAUCCGUAGCUGGCUAAGUUAGUCCCUUGUUAAAUCCACCGAAUUAAUCGUUGGAUUGCGGGGGAUACUGCUUAGCUAGGGGACGAGAGAGGCAGACGGUUAUUUCCGGGGGUAGGGGUGAAAUCCUAUAAUCCCGGGAAGACCACCAGUGGCGAAGGCUGUCUGCUAGACGCGCCCGAGGUGAGGGAUGAAAGCGUGGGGGAGCGAACC
Molecule: ribosomal RNA, 248 nt
Filed under: uncultured crenarchaeote
Lineage: Archaea; Thermoproteati; Thermoproteota
Description: partial 16S ribosomal RNA
Rfam family: Archaeal small subunit ribosomal RNA
Source: RNAcentral